GGAGGUGUGGCUCAGAUGAUAGAGCGCUAGCCUGGAGCAAAAAAACAAAAACAAAAAAGCUAGAGGACAAUAGCCAGACCCUGAGUUCAAAUCCCAGGACCUACA
This 105-nucleotide transfer RNA is filed under the name Dipodomys ordii (Ord's kangaroo rat). It matches the Rfam family "tRNA". From Rfam's summary of the family: Transfer RNA (tRNA) molecules are approximately 80 nucleotides in length. Their secondary structure includes four short double-helical elements and three loops (D, anti-codon, and T loops). Further hydrogen bonds mediate the characteristic L-shaped molecular structure. tRNAs have two regions of fundamental functional importance: the anti-codon, which is responsible for specific mRNA codon recognition, and the 3' end, to which the tRNAs corresponding amino acid is attached (by aminoacyl-tRNA synthetases). tRNAs cope with the degeneracy of the genetic code in two manners: having more than one tRNA (with a specific anti-codon) for a particular amino acid; and 'wobble' base-pairing, i.e. permitting non-standard base-pairing at the 3rd anti-codon position. Lineage: Eukaryota; Metazoa; Chordata; Mammalia; Rodentia; Heteromyidae. The record is from Rfam by way of RNAcentral.